RNAcentral lists this ribosomal RNA (301 nucleotides) under uncultured bacterium. Its description in RNAcentral is "partial 16S ribosomal RNA". It matches the Rfam family "Bacterial small subunit ribosomal RNA", at positions 509 to 807 of the family's 1533-position model. The record is from RNAcentral.
CAGUCGCCACGGGAAUACGAAGGGGGCUAGCGUUGCUCGGAAUGACUGGGCGUAAAGGGCGCGUAGGCGGCAUGUACAGUCAGACGUGAAAUUCCUGGGCCUAACCUGGGGGCUGCGUUUGAUACGUGCAGGCUAGAGUGGGGAAGAGGGUUGUGGAAUUCCCAGUGUAGAGGUGAAAUUCGUAGAUAUUGGGAAGAACACCGGUGGCGAAGGCGGCAACCUGGUCCUUGACUGACGCUGAGGCGCGAAAGCGUGGGGAGCAAACAGGAUUAGAUACCCCCGUAGUCCCUGUCUCUUAUAC